Long non-coding RNA from Triticum dicoccoides, 285 nucleotides. RefSeq lists it as uncharacterized. The transcript is spliced from 3 exons. The record is from RefSeq and is a predicted model, not a curated record. Lineage: Eukaryota; Viridiplantae; Streptophyta; Magnoliopsida; Poales; Poaceae.
AGCUUUUUAACAAAUUGGCUGCUACGAAGACUGGUUGCUUCAAAUUUUGUUUUGGUGCUUUUGGAGAUUUGAUUGUACAAGAAAAUGAUCUACCUUGCAAUAUCAUUUUUCUUGCAAAUGAAGAAAUUCAGAGCAUCUAAGUUUUAAAUGUAUCUGCUAAAGUGUUGAUAUUAAUCCUUUAUGUUGUCCGGAAGUCAACGAACAACCAGACCAGGAAGGCGUGGAGCUUGAGCUUGAGCUGCAGCGACAAUGACAACUUGGGCGUCAACUUCAAAAAGCAACAGU